AUGAGGAGAACCAAAGGAGAAUGCACUAGAUGGCAUGGUGAAAAAUGUGUGUCCCUAAAAAUAAAGGGGAUGUGUUUUCGCGAUAUUCACUGUUUCAACUUGGCAAUCCUUGCCAAACAAGCUUGGCGUCUUCUUGAGAAUCCCGACUCCUUAUGUGCUACUAUUCUGAGGGCUAAGUACUAUCCAAAUGGCGAUAUGUUGAAUUCUAAGUUAAAGAAGGGCUCCUCUUUUCUCUGGCAAAGUAUUAUGGCAGGUGUGAAUACUUUGAAACGUGGCUAUAUUUGGCAACUAGGAAGGUGGUUACUUCGAAGGGGUACAACUGUUAUCUAA
This 330-nucleotide ribosomal RNA is filed under the name Triticum aestivum (bread wheat). RNAcentral's name for it is "partial small subunit ribosomal RNA". Lineage: Eukaryota; Viridiplantae; Streptophyta; Magnoliopsida; Poales; Poaceae. The record is from RNAcentral.